RNAcentral lists this ribosomal RNA (411 nucleotides) under Streptomyces sp. PO7. RNAcentral describes it as "bacterial SSU rRNA". It matches the Rfam family "Bacterial small subunit ribosomal RNA", at positions 85 to 509 of the family's 1533-position model. The record is from RNAcentral. Lineage: Bacteria; Bacillati; Actinomycetota; Actinomycetes; Kitasatosporales; Streptomycetaceae.
GUGGGGAUUAGUGGCGAACGGGUGAGUAACACGUGGGCAAUCUGCCCUGCACUCUGGGACAAGCCCUGGAAACGGGGUCUAAUACCGGAUACUGACCCUCGCAGGCAUCUGCGAGGUUCGAAAGCUCCGGCGGUGCAGGAUGAGCCCGCGGCCUAUCAGCUUGUUGGUGAGGUAAUGGCUCACCAAGGCGACGACGGGUAGCCGGCCUGAGAGGGCGACCGGCCACACUGGGACUGAGACACGGCCCAGACUCCUACGGGAGGCAGCAGUGGGGAAUAUUGCACAAUGGGCGAAAGCCUGAUGCAGCGACGCCGCGUGAGGGAUGACGGCCUUCGGGUUGUAAACCUCUUUCAGCAGGGAAGAAGCGAAAGUGACGGUACCUGCAGAAGAAGCGCCGGCUAACUACGUGCC